This 225-nucleotide ribosomal RNA is filed under the name Pycnococcus provasolii. RNAcentral's name for it is "partial Bacterial large subunit ribosomal RNA". It matches the Rfam family "Bacterial large subunit ribosomal RNA", at positions 10 to 235 of the family's 2925-position model. Lineage: Eukaryota; Viridiplantae; Chlorophyta; Pseudoscourfieldiophyceae; Pseudoscourfieldiales; Pycnococcaceae. The record is from RNAcentral.
ACUAAGCGCAUACGGUGGAUGCCUUGGCAGUCAGAGGCGAUGAAAGACGUGGAAGCCUGCGAUAAGGCUCGGGGAGCUGGCAAACAAGCUGUGAUCCGGGCAUUUCUGAAUGGGGAAACCCACCGACUUUCGGGUCGGUACCUUACACUGAAUCCAUAGGUGUAAGGGGCGAACCGGGGGAACUGAAACAUCUAAGUACCCCGAGGAAAAGAAAUCAACCGAGAU